Molecule: long non-coding RNA, 241 nt
Filed under: Medicago truncatula (barrel medic)
Lineage: Eukaryota; Viridiplantae; Streptophyta; Magnoliopsida; Fabales; Fabaceae
Description: long non-coding RNA (MTRU_LNC008518)
Source: RNAcentral
AGUUCCUGAAAAGACUGUUUUGGAAAACCAACAAACAGUAACCCAAACUGAAACUCAAACCAUCCAAACCAAAGUGUUCCUAAACAAGUUGCUUCUGACCAAGAACAAAGUGUUCCUGAACAAUCUGUUCCUGAACACAAUGUUUCUGAACAACAACAAACUACCACUGAACAACCCCAGCCUAACACAGAACAACAACAACAACCAGAAUCACCAACCAUCAACUUAACCACUCCUGAAC